UACGGAGGGGGCUAGCGUUGUUCGGAAUUACUGGGCGUAAAGCGCACGUAGGCGGCUUUGCAAGUUAGAGGUGAAAGCCCGGAGCUUAACUCCGGAAUUGCCUUUAAAACUGCAUCGCUAGAAUUGUGGAGAGGUGAGUGGAAUUCCGAGUGUAGAGGUGAAAUUCGUAGAUAUUCGGAAGAACACCAGUGGCGAAGGCGACUCACUGGACACAUAUUGACGCUGAGGAGCGAGAGCCAGGGGAGCAAACGGG
This 253-nucleotide ribosomal RNA is filed under the name uncultured bacterium. RNAcentral's name for it is "partial 16S ribosomal RNA". It matches the Rfam family "Bacterial small subunit ribosomal RNA", at positions 524 to 776 of the family's 1533-position model. The record is from RNAcentral.